This 755-nucleotide long non-coding RNA is filed under the name Homo sapiens (human). Its description in RNAcentral is "TTC36 and KMT2A antisense RNA 1 (TTC36-AS1)". The record is from RNAcentral. Lineage: Eukaryota; Metazoa; Chordata; Mammalia; Primates; Hominidae.
GCGGGCGUCGUCGUCUCGGCCCUGCAGCCGCGCCAGGAGUCCGCGCUGCACAAAGCUCUGGCGGGCGGCGCGGCCCCGGCCGCCGCUCAGCUCCACCGCGCGUUCCAGAUCCUCCAGGGCGCCUGCGGGACCGACGAGACGGGCGGGGCGGGGGUCAGCGGAGGCCAGGGCGGCCUUGCCCGAGCCCCAGCCCACCUGCGGCCGCGCGGAUCACCGUGGUUCUUGCGGCUCCCGGGCGUGGCCAUUUACAACCCGCCUCGCACCUGCUAGAGGUCCAAUCCAACAAUGUCUCCAAAUGGGGUGUCAGGGUUGAAGAUGGCCUGCAGCACUGCCUGAUCAUUUGGAGUCCCCAUGGUGCUCAACUCCAAAAUCCCAAAAGAAAAGACCCCGGCCAUGGAUGGGAGACCUAGGACAAAGAUGGAAAAGAGUGCUUGGCACCAGACAGCUGCUCAAUGAGGAACACAACUGCAUCAUGGAGAAUCCCCAGCAUCCUCAAACCGUUAACACCUAGAAGAAUCAGAAGCACCAGGGAAGUGAGGAGCGCAGUCAACAGGAAACAGCAUGGUCCUACAGAAAUGCCUAUGCUAUAGUCACUCUGCCAGAGGCUGCUCCAGGGUGAAUUAUAGUACAUAUUAGCUCGAAAUUAGCAUCAGAUAGCCAUUAAAAUGAUGCUGAUACAGAUCUAUCAAUAUGGAAAAUGUUUGUGAUAGACGGCUAAGUGAAAAAAGCAUGCCACCAAAAAAAAAAAAAAAAAA